UUCCAUUUGAGAAGGGUGCUCCUCUCUCCCCGCUUUCGCCCAAUGAUCCCUGGAGGCCAUUGUGACAUCCAUUGUGUGGCAACACAGGUAAUCAAACUUAGUAAAAAACAACAUUAUACUUAAGGUAGGUUUAACAAAUGUUACGUUUACUAAUGAGUCCUUUCCUGUAAUCACAGCUUUGGAAGCCAGGCGGAGUGUCAGUGAGAGGAGCUGAAGAGAGAGAACGCAGGUAAAACCGAUACAGAAAAGGAGUAUUGUUUUCCAGUCAGAAGUGCUGCACCGAGAAGGUGUUUAUACCUGCUGUUAACAUGCGCCCUCAUCUUGUCUUU
Molecule: long non-coding RNA, 329 nt
Filed under: Oncorhynchus kisutch (coho salmon)
Lineage: Eukaryota; Metazoa; Chordata; Actinopteri; Salmoniformes; Salmonidae
Description: lncRNA (ENSOKIG00005024399.1)
Source: RNAcentral